Long non-coding RNA from Meleagris gallopavo (turkey), 2856 nucleotides. Lineage: Eukaryota; Metazoa; Chordata; Aves; Galliformes; Phasianidae. The record is from Ensembl.
CCCACCCGCGUGGAGCGCGCGGCCGAGGCCACCAUCAACAUGGGCAGCAAGGUGGUGGCCGGGGUGGCCAUGACCAACCUGCCGGGCGUCGUGGUUUUGGCCUUCGCCAAAGCGCAGCUCAUCCAGAUCUUCUUCUUCCGUCUCAAUUUCAUCAUCACGCUGGUGGGCCUCGCUCACGGCCUCGUCUUCCUGCCCGUCCUGCUCAGCUACAUGGGUCCCGCACCGCUCAGCGUGGAGGGCACCAAAGAUGGCAUGGAGGGCAUCAAAGAUGACGUGGAGGGCACCAGAUCCGGUACUGAAGACACCAGAUCCGGCACAGGGGGCACUGGAUUUGGCACGGGGGGCACCAGGUUUGGCACAGAGGGCACCACAGUUGACGUUGGUGACACCAAACCCGGUGGCACGGAGGGCACCAAGGCCGGCGCGGUGUGGGGCGCAGCCUUCGCCAACCCCAGCUUUGAGGACGCGGCGCAGUGCUGACGCCGCUGCCCCCACGGCCCUUUUCUGUGCUGCUGUAUUUAAAGAGGUUUUCUCAGAGAUGAUGGGUUUGUGGGGGUUUUGGGGGGUUUUGUGUCUGAUUACCUGGGCGUGGGCACCGUGGGGCCACCAUGUGGGUACUGGGAUGGACAGCUUGGGGACAAAGCUGUGUGGGACACACGGACGGACAUCCUGACACACGGACAUGUUGGGGACAAAAGCACAUGGGACCCAUAAAAGGACAGCGUGGGGACAGGGACACGGGGGACACUGGAUGGCAUCCUGGGGACAAAGCUGUGUGGACACCUAUGGGCAUCUUGGGGACGGGGACACACAGACACCUUGGGGACAAGGUAGUGUGGGACCCAUAAAAGGACAUCUUGGGGACAGGGACACAGGGACACAUGGAUGGCAUCCUGGGGACAGGAUGACAUGGGACACGUAGGGCACAUGGAUGGACACCUUGGGGACAAAGCUGUGUGGGACACACGGACACCCUGGGGACAGGAGCAUGUGGGACACACGGACGGACGUCUCGGGGAUGGGGACACAUUGGGGACAUGGAUGGACGUCCUGGGGACAGGGACACACAGACACCUUGGGGACAAGGCAGUAUUGGGACCCAUAGAGGGACACCUUGGGGACAGGGACACAGAGGACACACGGACACCUUGGGGACAAAGCUGUGUGGGACCCAGAGAGGGACACCUUGGGGACAGGGACACAGAGGACACACGGACACCUUGGGGACAAAGCUGUGUGGGAAACAUGGACAUCUUGGGACAGGAUGACAUGGGACACGUGGGCAUCAUGGGGACAGGGACACGCGGGACACAUGGAUGGAUGUCUUGGGGACAGGGACAUGUGGGACACAUGGAUGGACAUCUUGGGGACGGGGGCACACAGACACCUUGGGGACAAGGCAGUGUGGGACCCAUAGAGGGACAUCUUGGGGACAGGGACACGUGGGACACAUGGAUGGAUGUCUUGGGGACAGGGACACGUGGGACACAUGGAUGGAUGUCUUGGGGACAGGGACACGGGGGACACUGGAUGGCAUCCUGGGGACAAAGCUGUGUGGACACCUAUGGGCAUCUUGGGGACGGGGACACACAGACACCUUGGGGACAAGGCAGUGUGGGACCCAUAAAAGGACAUCUUGGGGACAGGGACACGGGGACACGUGGAUGGCAUCCUGGGGACAGGAUGACAUGGGACACGUAGGGCACAUGGAUGGACAUCUUGGGGACAAAGCUGUGUAGGACACACGGACACCUUGGGGGCAGGAGCAUGUGGGACACACGGACGGACGUCUUGGGAUGGGGACACAUUGGGGACAUGGAUGGACAUCCUGGGGACAGGGACACACGGACACCUUGGGGACAAAACCACAUGAGACCCAUAGAGGGACACCUUGGGGACAGGGACACAGAGGACACACGGACACCUUGGGGACAAAGCUGUGUGGGACACAUGGACACCUUGGGACAGGAUGACAUGGGACACGUGGGCAUCAUGGGGACAGGGACAUGUGGGACACACGGACACCUUGGGGACACACGGAUGGACGUCCUGGGACCAGGACCCCAAAGGACGCACAUCACAUCUGCAGUGGGAUGGGAUCCUGUGAGCCCACGGGGUGAAUGGGGACGGUGGGGGGGGACCCCAUGGGACUGAGACCCCAAAGGGCACCGACCCCAGUGGGGAUGGGAUCCUAUGGGAUCAGGACCCCAAAGCUGUAAGGGAACGGCAGGGGUGGGUCUCUAUGGGAUCAGGACCCCAAAGGGCUCAAUGGGGUCAGGUCCAUAUGGGAUUGAGACCCCACAGGACAUAUGGGAAUGGCAGGGAUGGGUCUCCAUGGGAUCGAGACCCCAAAGGGAAAACAUCCACAGUGGGGAUGGGAUCCUAUGAGAUCAGGACCCCAUGGGGCAAAUGGGAUGACAGGGAUGGGUCUCUAUGGGAUUGAGACCCCACAGGACAUAUGGGAACAGCGGGGAUGGGUCUCCAUGGGAUUGAGACCCCAAGUGGCUCAGUGGGGUCAGGUCCAUAUGGGAUGAAGACCCCACAGGACAUAUGGGAACAGCGGGGAUGGGUCUCCAUGGGAUCAGGACCCCAAAGGGCUCAAUGGGGUCAGGUCCAUAUGGGAUGAAGACCCCACAGGACAUAUGGGAACGGUGGGGGUGGGUCUCCACGGGAUUGAGACCCCAAAGGGAAAACAUCCACAGUGGGGAUGGGAUCCUAUGGGAUCAGGACCCCAAGGCUGAAAGGGAACGGCAGGGAUGGGUCUCUAUGGGAUCAGGACCCCAAGUGGCUCAGUGGGGUCAGGUCCAUAUGGGAUGAAGACCCCACAGGACAUAUGGGAACGGCGGGGAUAGGUCU